CCUACGGGUGGCAGCAGUGGGGAAUAUUGCGCAAUGGACGAAAGUCUGACGCAGCGACGCCGCGUGAGGGAUGAAGGUUUUCGGAUCGUAAACCUCUGUCAGGAGGGAAGAAAGCGCAUGGCGCCAAUCAGCCAUGCGUUGACGGUACCUCCAAAGGAAGCGCCGGCUAACUCCGUACCAGCAGCCGCGGUAAUACGGGGGGCGCGAGCGUUAAUCGGAAGUACUGGGCGUAAGGCUCGCGUAGGCGGUUGUGUACGUUGGGGGUGAAAUCCCACGGCUCAACCGUGGAACAGGCAUUGAUACUGAGCGACUUGAAUCUGGGAGAGGGUGGCGGAAUUCCAGGUGUAGGAGUGAAAUCCGUAGAUAUAUGGAGGAAAAUAAGUGGCGAAGGCGGCCACCUGGACCGGUAUUGACGCUGAGGCGCGAAAGCGUGGGGAGCAAACAGGAUUAGAUACCCUUGUAGU
Molecule: ribosomal RNA, 464 nt
Filed under: uncultured bacterium
Lineage: Bacteria
Description: partial 16S ribosomal RNA
Rfam family: Bacterial small subunit ribosomal RNA
Source: RNAcentral